Molecule: ribosomal RNA, 1990 nt
Filed under: marine metagenome
Description: bacterial LSU rRNA
Rfam family: Bacterial large subunit ribosomal RNA
Source: RNAcentral
UCAAGUUAUUAUGAGUUUAUGGGGGAUGCCUUGGCGUCAAAAGCCGAAGAAGGGCGUAGCAAGUCUGCGAUAAGCCUCGGUUUGCUGACUAGCAAGCUUAGCCGGGGAUACCCGAAUGGGAAAACCUGAUCAUAUGAUCAACCUUUUUUAUAAAGGUAGGUAAGCAGGAGAACUGAAACAUCUAAGUAUCCUGAGGAAAAUAAAUCAAACGAGAUUCCCUAAGUAGCGGCGAGCGAAAUGGGAUCAGCCUAAACCGUGUGGGAUUUAUCCUGUGCGGGGUUGUAGGGCACUUUUUAUAAAAGUUACAAAAUGACAUUUUAGUAGAAUAGAUUGGAAAAUCUAACCAUAGAGGGUGAAAGUCCCGUAAACGAAAAAAUGUCAACUUUUUAAGUGUUCCUGAGUACGACGGGACACGUGAAAUCUUGUCGGAAUCUGGGGGGACCACCCUCCAAGGCUAAAUACUUUUGACGACCGAUAGUGAACUAGUACCGUGAGGGAAAGGUGAAAAGAACCCCGAGAGGGGAGUGAAAUAGAACUGAAACCAUAAACCUACAAACCGUGGGAGCUUGUAUUUAUACGAGUGACCGCGUGCCUAUUGAAGAAUGAGCCAACGAGUUACUUGGUACGGCAAGAUUAAGAAGUUAAGCUUUGAAGUCGAAGCGAAAGCAAGUCUGAAUAGGGCGAAUUAGUCGUGUCAAGUAGACCCGAAACCGUGUGAGCUACCUAUGGCCAGGUUGAAGCGAGAGUAAAAUCUCGUGAAGGACCGAACCCGUGUACGCUGCAAAGUGCUGGGAUGAGCUGUGGGUAGAGGUAAAAUGCCAAACGAACACGGAGAUAGCUGGUUCUCUCCGAAAUGUAUUUAGGUACAGCGUUAUGUAAUACUUCAUGGAGGUAGAGCACUGGAUAGACUAGGGGGCGCAAGCUUACCAAACCUAACCAAACUCCGAAUACCAUGAAGGGUAUCAUAGCAGUGAGACUGUGGGGGAUAAGCUCCAUUGUCGAAAGGGAAACAGCCCAGAUCGCAAGUUAAGGUCCCAAAGUAUAUGCUAAGUGUUAAACGAAGUAGGGUCGCCCAGACAGCCAGGAGGUUGGCUUAGAAGCAGCCAUCCUUUAAAGAGUGCGUAAUAGCCCACUGGUCAAGGGGCCCCGCACGGAAAAUAAACGGGGCUAAGCAUAUCACCGAGACUGCGGGAUCUAUUUUAUAGAUCGGUAGGAGAGUGUCGUUAAAGCGCUGAAGCUAAGCUGUAAGGCUUGGUGGAGUUUUAACAAGUAAGAAUGUUGGCAUGAGUAGCAAAAAUGCCGGUGAGAACCCGGCAGGCCGAAAGUCUAAGGAUUCCUACGCAACGUUGAUCGGCGUAGGGUUAGUCGGUCCUAAGGCGUAUCCGAAAGGAGAAGUCGAUGGAUAGCUGGUAAAUAUUCCAGCACCUUUAAAUAAUUGUUUGACUCAAAGAGGUGACGCGAACAGAUAAGCAGAGCAUACGUAUCGGACAUCGUGUGUUUUUGACCGUAGGAGAGUAGAGAAGGUUAAAAUAUUUUCUAUGUUUGAUCUGAGGAGAAAGAAAACUAUGAGGUUAGCCUCGUGGGAUUCUGCCGAUUCUAAGUCGCCUAGAAAAACCUCGUUGAUUAGAUUUUUUGAAGACCGUACCGCAAACCAACACAGGUAGACAGGGAUAAAAGUCCCAAGGCCUUCGAGAGAACCAUCGUUAAGGAACUCGGCAAAUUGACCCCGUAACUUAGGGAGAAGGGGGACCUUAAGUGUAUAUGAGCUAGCCUCAAAAAGCAUGUAAGGUAGCAUAAAAUAGGCUGAAGCGACUGUUUACCAAAAACACAGGUCCAUGCCAAAGCGAAAGCUGAUGUAUAUGGGCUGACGCCUGCCCAGUGCCGGUAGGUUAAGGAAAGGAGUGCAAGCUCUUGACUGAAGCCCCGGUGAACGGCGGCCGUAACUAUAACGGUCCUAAGGUAGCGAAGUCCCUUGUCGGGUAAGUUCCGA